UGUAACAUGUCACUUUAGGGGCACCGUAAAUUUGCGAUAGAGCAACGAUUUUAAAAAAUAAAGUAUCAAAAAUCCACUCAUUUUAAAAGUAUUUUUUUCACUUAAUUGGAUGCAACUGAAAUAUAUUGUAUAUAUAGGAAAAUCCUUAUCAGAUAUAACCUAGCUAUUAGAAAAUUUUCUACUGACAGGAAUGAGAUAAUUCCAUAAAAUUACAUAUUCGUGACAACAUCAGCAGCCUCACUAGUCAAACAAUUUUUAAAGAACGAGGAUCUAUGUUUUAGCGGACACGCAGAACAAAGUAAGAGAGAAAGAAGGACAACGGAAGGAAUGGCAAUGCUUACAAGAAUAAUAUACAGAACGGCAUUAAGACUUAUAAUGUUUGUUAUUGUUGCUGAUAUAAUGAAAGUAUCCGGUCAGCUGUGCAAAAAAAGUAGUGACCUCUAAAGGAUAUGUUUGUGGAGACACAGGCCCUUUCCUUAAUGGCAUUGGUCGGUGUUCUAGAAAUUCUCGGAUGCAUUUAGUAAAAGGAUGCGGCUUUGUCGGUUCAAGCUGCCGAUGCAGAUCAAGUCUGAUCCUAAAUGUACGCAAAACCGAUGUCAUCAAAUAUCAGAUUGAAUAAAAUGCUCAUGCACAAAGAUAUGUCAGAUGUACACUAUUUAAAAGAAAGAAAUAAACGAAAUAAGAUACAAUGACAAAAUUUUCUGAUACAAUGUGUCAGUAAUCAAUUACGAUUACAAGAACAGGCGUUUGAACAUCAUUCCACUUUUGUUAGUGUGGUGUGUAUGUUCAUUUGGUGAAACAAAAUUACUCUUUCGUUCUUAAAUUAUCCAGCUUUCCUUAUAACAUUUUUCCCUGAUAUUGCGUUCUCUUAUUGUUUUGAUUAAAGUAGUGGCGAUUAUUAUUGGUUAUGAUAAAGAAAAAUACGUUUAAUGAGGCUUGAAGUCAGCUAACUGAAAUUUAAGAACAACAAUAUAUGACUGAAAACUCUGUAAGAUCUUACAAAGAAUGAUCUCAGAAGGAAUUAUCUUAAACGAAGGAAACUUCGAUAUUACCGCAUCAAUACCGUGUAGACGAGGUCCGAAAAAAAGAAAAUUACAUUUUAUCCCGUUAAACGGAUAUGUACAAAGCGGAUAUUAUGACAAAGUUGAAAAUAUACAAAUAAAAUGUGUACAGGUAAAGAAAAGGAAAAGGAAAACAGUGGGAUUUGGAAUGGUCAGUGAAAAUACAUACUUUUAAAAUUGAAACCUAUUAUUAUCAAUAGAACUGCUCUCCUAAUUACCACUGUUAGUUCUUUUUUAUUAGCUCGCAAGGUGAACCCCUGACACAAACGUUUGUAAUAAAAUGCACCGCAAUCAGCAAAUGCAUACUCUUGUAUUUUUAUACUUAAGAUAACCAAAAUGAUCUAUUUUCUAGUAAACUCGAUGAUAUUAUGGAAGAUAUAAAAUUACUAGAGUAGAGAUCGCUUGUGAUGAACGUGAACACAAAAACAAAUACUGAUUUUUGUGUAUGAUAUUUAGGUAACAUCCCGUUAAUUCUAUAUAUGACAACCUACUUAAAUAAAGCAAUUGUCCCUCAAGAUUGUGAGUUUUGAGUCUCACUUGAGACGUUAUAUUCUUCAUGUGAGGAAGCCAUCCAGUUGGCUUACCGAAGGCCAGUGGUAAUAACCAAGUGCACACUCGUGAUGAAAUAAUGCACGGAGGGGCACCUUGUGUCUUCCUCCACCAUCAAAGCUGAGAAGUCGCCAUAUGACCUAUACUUGUGUCGGUGCAACGUUAAAUCCAACCAAACAAAUAACUGAUAGCAAGUGAUUAUGAAUAUGUCAUAGUGUGUACUUUGAAGUCUCUGAUUGGCAGAAGGUGACUAUGUAUAUCUUUGAUACAAUAUCGCUGAUUUGUAGCAAGUGAUUACUCAUGUUUGAUGCAUGUGAAAACCUUAUUGUUAGCUAGUGAUUUAGCUACUGUUGAAUACACAGGUAGCUCGUCCGCCUAGCUCAGUAGGGAGAGAGCAGAUUUACGGAUCGUGGGUCGUGAGUUUGAUUUCCGGGCGGGGAAUAUGUUUUCUGUGACGACUUAUUUAAAGAGAUAUUGUGUCUGAAAUCAUUCGUCUUCCACUUCUAAUUCACGUGGGGAAGUUGGCAAUUACUUGCUAAGAACAGGUUUGUAUUGGUACAGAAUCCAGGAAACUGCUCGCCUUCAGAUAACUGAAAAUUCUAAAGACUUGCCUUAUCAGCGGUGCAGUAGAGACCGAUACUUUUCACUUCAUUAAUACAUCGGAAAUCUUUUGUUAUAGAACAGUCUACAACUUGUCAGCUGAAUAAGAUCCAAAAUAUAUUAUCUAACUUAUCAUUCAUGCUCAGUCUGAAUUCUAAAUAAUAGUUUUGUCAUUAUAAUAAUGCAUGGUGUGAAUACUAAAUAUGCUUUAUAAAUUGAAAUUAGAAACAUGGAAUACAUAAUCUGACUAUAGUGCAUGACCUCAUAUGAUACUGUUAAAACAUGAUAAGAGUCAGUGACUCUGUAGAAAAGGCCAAUAACAAGUCAUAGAUAAAGAUAAUGUUUACGACUCUCAACUUGUCAUGCAAUACAAAACAGUUCGAUGAAAGGGAGAGGUAAAGAGAGAUCCAUAAACUAAAGACCAAUCGUAGAAAGGAAUAUGUUUGUCAGAUUGCCAGACAGAAUAACAUUGAUUGUUGUGGCGUUAACUUUUCUUAACGUUGUUGAUACCGUGUCGGGACAGCUUUGCAAGAAAACUUUAACAAGCAGAGGAAUAGUAUGUCAAGACACGCCGCCUUUCAUUAAUGGAUAUGGUAGAUGCAUUAGAGGUUCAACCGCGGAAUACAAGAAACGAUGCGGAUUCGUUGGUUCAAGCUGUCGAUGCAGAUCGACUCAAAUUCUAAACAAGGCUGAAAGGAACUUAACAUUCAUUGGUGUAGUAAAUGGUUGGUUCGGACGGUAAUAUUACGAACGUUAAUCUAUUUAGAUAGCACAAUUAAUGAAAUUCUUGAAAUACGUUCAUGUUUUGGUGUUGAUUAUAAGUUUAUCGCAAAUAAAAUAUUCAUAUUCAUUUUUAAUGUGUUUAGUGACACCAAAUUAUUUCUAUUCGUCUUAUAAUUCAAUGUUGUUCUUACUACUGUUGCCAAGUGUCACUGUUACUGUCCUGUUGGAUUUAAACAAAAUGUGGUCAUCUUCAGACAAAAGACAAUUCUCAUAGGAAAGCAGAUCGUUAGGAAGAUCUAUAUUUGAGACAUACAACGCAAAUGAGUAUGUUCAUAAGCGGUUAUCAAAAUGCAAUGCCUCUCUCGCCGCCAGUAACCAGCAUAAACAAAAACAUUUUUAUAUAAACUCAUUGACAGGACUUCCAUAUGCAGAAGGACAACCAGUCCAAAAAUGCAUUUUGAGAUGUCCCCUGACUUACCGGAUAUUUUAUGCUUAACAAUGUUUACCAAUAUCACCGAAAUUCGGAAUGUAUGAACUUCAAGAUGCUUCAUGUUGAAAAACGAAUGACUGAUGAAAUAUGUUUACUCUCAUUUUCUACAUUUCGAACUGUCUGACACUGCUUUACUAAAUAAUAUGCGACAGCUGAUCAACAAUUAUGACACAUAAAGUAUCUAAAAUGGAUUAAAAGAUUUUAGAUAUUGUUUCUUAAAGAUUUUAGAAUUUUUUACGUAGUUGGAGCCAUCUAAUAUAUAGGGAAAUUCUUGUCAGAUCUAAUCUAGCUAUUAAAAAAUAGUUGACAGAAAUGAGAUAACUCCAUAAAAUCACUUAUUUGUGAUAACAUCCGCAGCAUCGGUG
This is a long non-coding RNA of Mercenaria mercenaria, 3788 nucleotides long. RefSeq lists it as uncharacterized. NCBI's taxonomy places the organism in Eukaryota, Metazoa, Mollusca, Bivalvia, Venerida, Veneridae. The record is from RefSeq and is a predicted model, not a curated record. The transcript is spliced from 3 exons.